Molecule: non-coding RNA, 45 nt
Filed under: Schistosoma margrebowiei
Lineage: Eukaryota; Metazoa; Platyhelminthes; Trematoda; Strigeidida; Schistosomatidae
Source: RNAcentral
AUCCAGCAAACGAGUCCCAAGUAGGACGAAAAACGCAUCCUGGAU